UGGGGAAUCUUGCGCAAUGGGCGAAAGCCUGACGCAGCCAUGCCGCGUGGAUGAUGAAGGUCUUAGGAUUGUAAAAUCCUUUCACCGGUGAAGAUAAUGACUGUAGCCGGAGAAGAAGCCCCGGCUAACUUCGUGCCAGCAGCCGCGGUAAUACGAAGGGGGCUAGCGUUGCUCGGAUUUACUGGGCGUAAAGGGCGCGUAGGCGGACAUUUAAGUCAGGGGUGAAAUCCCGGGGCUCAACCUCGGAACUGCCUUUGAUACUGGGUGUCUUGAGUAUGAGAGAGGUGUGUGGAACUCCGAGUGUAGAGGUGAAAUUCGUAGAUAUUCGGAAGAACACCAGUGGCGAAGGCGACACACUGGCUCAUUACUGACGCUGAGGCGCGAAAGCGUGGGGAGCAAACA
This 402-nucleotide ribosomal RNA is filed under the name uncultured bacterium. RNAcentral describes it as "bacterial SSU rRNA". It matches the Rfam family "Bacterial small subunit ribosomal RNA", at positions 355 to 774 of the family's 1533-position model. The record is from RNAcentral.